UAGGAUUACAUUUUUUUUCCCUUGGUGUCAAUGGCUGCGCCGUCACGGGUGCGGGCGGAAGUCGCUGUGUGAGCUCUGUUCCUAGGCGGUGCGUUUCUGGGUUGUCCGUCGGGGGCUUUUCUUGCGAGACGAGCGGACGGUAGAAAGAAGCGCCUUCGCCUGCCAGUAGGAGCGCCAUGUCGGGACGCGAAGGUGGAAAGAAGAAGCCUUUGAAACAAGCCAAGAAGCAGUCGAAGGAAUUAGAUGAGGAAGAUAAAGCUUUCAAGCAGAAGCAGAAGGAGGAGCAAAAGAAACUGGAUGAGAUGAAGGCAAAAGCUGCUGGCAAGGGCCCGCUUACUGGAGGUGGGAUUAAAAAAUCUGGCAAGAAGUAGAGUGUUCUCUGAGACCAUGAUGGCAAGAAAAACAGAAUGAGUUCCUUCCCCUUUGAAGCUUAGCAGUAGGAGGAAUUUCUAAGCUAAUGUUGCGGGAAACAUUAAUAUAAGCACCUUUGUACAUUUCGUUCAAACAAAAUAAAGUAUUGGUUUGUUUUAAUGA
Molecule: long non-coding RNA, 534 nt
Organism: Notechis scutatus (mainland tiger snake)
Lineage: Eukaryota; Metazoa; Chordata; Lepidosauria; Squamata; Elapidae
Source: RefSeq, a predicted model, not a curated record